AUUGAACGCUGGCGGCAUGCCUUACACAUGCAAGUCGAACGGCAGCGCGGGCUUCGGCCUGGCGGCGAGUGGCGAACGGGUGAGUAAUACAUCGGAACGUGCCCUAGAGUGGGGGAUAACUAGUCGAAAGAUUAGCUAAUACCGCAUACGAUCUCAGGAUGAAAGUGGGGGACCGCAAGGCCUCAUGCUCCUGGAGCGGCCGAUGUCUGAUUAGCUUGUUGGGGGGGUAACGGCCCACCAAGGCGACGAUCAGUAGCUGGUCUGAGAGGACGACCAGCCACACUAGGACUGGGACACGGCCCAGACUCCUGCGGGAGGCAGCAGUGGGGAAUUUUGGACGAUGGGGGAAACCCUGAUCCAGCAAUGCCGCGUGUGUGAAGAAGGCCUUCGGGUUGUAAAGCACUUUUGUCAGGAACGAAACGGUGGGGGCUAAUACCUUCUGCUAAUGACGGUACCUGAAGAAUAAGCACCGGCUAACUACGUGCCAGCCGCCGCCGUAA
Molecule: ribosomal RNA, 500 nt
Filed under: uncultured bacterium
Lineage: Bacteria
Description: partial 16S ribosomal RNA
Rfam family: Bacterial small subunit ribosomal RNA
Source: RNAcentral